Molecule: ribosomal RNA, 828 nt
Filed under: Triticum aestivum (bread wheat)
Lineage: Eukaryota; Viridiplantae; Streptophyta; Magnoliopsida; Poales; Poaceae
Description: partial small subunit ribosomal RNA
Source: RNAcentral
AUGGCCCUAGGAUGGCGCCACGGCCUCGGGCUCUUCUUCCACAAGAUCCGGUUCGAGGUCCUGGUGUGGGAUCCCGUAGCCGGCCACCAGCACCUCCUGGCCGUCCCCCCGGAUUUCGAGUUCCAGGGGGCCAAGGGUGAUAUCAGCGGGGCGGUGCUUCGCGCCGCCGGAGACGCCGACCACUUCCGGGUGGUCAUGGUAGGCAGCAACGGGAAGCAGCCUAGAACAGUGCUCGCCUGCGUUUACUCGUCGGAGGCCGGCGCAUGGGGCGAUUUCAUCUCGGCGCCGCUUCCACCCGAGGGUUUGUUCAUUUUCAGGUCCCAGCCCGCUGUGCUGGCAGGGGGUUGCCUUCACUGGUCGCUUACCAUGGCGGGUUCGAGAAGUAUCCUCAAGUUUGAUUUGAACAGGAAGAGCCUAGAUCUGAGGUUGCUGCCGGGGGAUUAUUAUACCCCGCUCAGUCCCGUCAAAUUCGCGGUUAUGCGAGCAGAGGGUGGUGGGAUGGGUUUCCUGUUCUUAUUCGGCUUCACCGCCGAAUUAUGGAGUCUGAAUCCCAAUCGCGACGGUGUUAUGAUAUGGGAGCCAGGGAGAAGUAUUGAACUGGACAAGUUACUUCGGCUAAAUCCAGAGAAAGAUACCCCACAUGUGAUAGGGUAUGCGGAGGAAAACAAUGUGGUGUUCUUCUGGACAGUUGUUGGUGUCUUCAUGGUCCAUCUUGACUCAUGGUGGUUCAAGAAGCUCUCUAAGACUAGUCUCGAUUCUUGGUACCAUCCAUUUGAAAUUGCCUAUACUCCAGGCAUGGUGGUGGACAUGAUGGAGCUAAAGUUGUGA